GGAAAUCGAAAGGAUCAGAUUCAGAGACGGCAACUUACUCAAGGUCACAGCAUUUUAAACCCAAGUGAAAUCUCCUAGGCCCUUCAUGCCACACUCAUCCAUCCCUACCUACUUGUGUUGCAACCAAGGGCCCCACUGUAGUGCCUAGGGGAGCAGGUCUAGGGCACAGUGCCAGGCCUGAUUAAUGUCUUCCUUACCAUUUUCCAGUGAGGGGCUGUGAUUAGGCCUAUUUAUAGGGGCCUGGUCCCUUAAUAUUCUGCCUGGUGCAUCUCUUGCCAAUCAAAUCAGUGCUGUCUGCAGUGUGAUUGCUGCUUUAGUGGCACCAGGGAGAGGAGUUAAUUAAACCCAAUAUAAAUAACCAUUUGGCAGUUGAUCAGGCAAUCUCCCCUGCUACCCCAUUUCUACCCCUUUGUUUCCAGCCUCUUUUUUCCUCUGCAACCAAGGUUUCUUGUUUAUCCAAGGUGGGGAGCUGAACUGAGACAAGGUAUGGAAAGGGUGCCUGGCAGGUAGCAAGCACCUUGUAGGGGGUCAGAAAUGUUGCACCUUCUCUGAACUCCUCCAUCUCUGUCCCCUACUCCCCUAUCUGUGCAGGCUGAAGCUAUGUGCAUAGUUGGGAUGAGGGCUGUGUUGUCUCAACACCACGCUGCCCUGUGGUGGGGGCGUGCCGGUGGUCGUGGGUGGCUCUGACGCUCCGGCUCCGACCCACAGGCACCAUGACUCCUGUGAGGAUGCAGCACUCCCUGGCAGGUCAGACCUAUGCCGUGCCCUUCAUCCAGCCAGACCUGCGGCGAGAGGAGGCCGUCCAGCAGAUGGCGGAUGCCCUGCAGUACCUGCAGAAGGUCUCUGGAGACAUCUUCAGCAGGUGGGUGCUGCCACUCACCCCCACCUGAUGAGAGGGCCAUCCCUGUCCUGGGCAAUCCCAGCAACACACCCUCUGGGAGCAGCCCCCUUGGGGAAUCCCGGUCCUGGGGAACCCAUCUGGCUUCCCUGUGUGGGAGGGGCUGAAGUGAGAGCCCAACUUGGAAGCUUUUACUCCUGGGAGUCCGAGAGCUCACUCCCUUCCACCCCACUUAGCCUCCUGGUUUCCUGUGGUGGCUCUGCUCUCACAACUCAUGCUUUUCCUC
RNAcentral lists this long non-coding RNA (1124 nucleotides) under Homo sapiens (human). RNAcentral's name for it is "non-protein coding lnc-OR4F29-11:5". The record is from RNAcentral. Lineage: Eukaryota; Metazoa; Chordata; Mammalia; Primates; Hominidae.